UACGAGGGGGGCGAGCGUUGUUCGGAAUUAUUGGGCGUAAAGGGUGCGUAGGCGGUUUUGUAAGUCUUAUGUGAAAUCUACAGGCUCAACUUGUAGUCUGCAUGAGAAACUGCAGGGCUUGAGUAUGGGAGAGGUGAGUGGAAUUCCUGGUGUAGCGGUGAAAUGCGUAGAUAUCAGGAGGAACACCUGUGGCGAAAGCGGCUCACUGGACCAUAACUGACGCUGAUGCACGAAAGCUAGGGGAG
Molecule: ribosomal RNA, 245 nt
Filed under: uncultured bacterium
Lineage: Bacteria
Description: partial 16S ribosomal RNA
Rfam family: Bacterial small subunit ribosomal RNA
Source: RNAcentral